This 433-nucleotide ribosomal RNA is filed under the name uncultured bacterium. RNAcentral describes it as "partial 16S ribosomal RNA". It matches the Rfam family "Bacterial small subunit ribosomal RNA", at positions 29 to 507 of the family's 1533-position model. The record is from RNAcentral.
AACGAACGCUGGCGGCAUGCCUAACACAUGCAAGUCGAACGAGACCUUCGGGUCUAGUGGCGCACGGGUGCGUAACGCGUGGGAACCUGCCCUUAGGUUCGGAAUAACUCCCCGAAAGGGGUGCUAAUACCGGAUAAUGUCUUCGGACCAAAGAUUUAUCGCCUUUGGAUGGGCCCGCGUUGUAUUAGCUAGUUGGUAGGGUAAAAGCCUACCAAGGCGACGAUCCAUAGCUGGUAUGAGAGGAUGAUCAGCCACACUGGUACUGAGACACGGCCCAGACUACUACGGGAGGCAGCAGUGGGGAAUAUUGGACAAUGGGCGAAAGCAUGAUCCAGCAAUGCCGCGUGAGUGAUGAAGGCCUUAGGGUUGUAAAGCUCUUUUACCCGGGAUGAUAAUGACAGUACCGGGAGAAUAAGCACCGGCUAACUCCGUG